CACCUGUCAGAAUCCAGUAUGCUUGGCAGGAUGGGCACAGUGUUUUAUGGGGGCUCCAUUCAACGGCUUUGCUCCAGAAACCUCCCAACCUGGCACCAUCACUGUUCAUGGCUGUUGUGAGAGGAAGAAAUGUACCCACUGAAUGUCUUCUUGAAAAAUAGUACCGGUCUUCCCCUUUGAAUAAAAUAUUGGUAUCCAUAAACGGCUGAGAUAUGCCUAAUCACAUUCAUACUCAUUUCCAUCGACCUAAACCGAUAAUGCUUGCCCUCAGUAUGACAUUAGGUCCUGGGUACAGCAAUUACCAGCAUACCUACAGUCCUCCAUGACCCUGCCGUUACAUUUAGGCUUGCCACCCAUUCUUUGUUUCAAAGAAUAGUUCUUUACUACCCGACCCACACAGAGCAUCUGUGCGCUGUUUGGGGCCAGCUGUUCCCCCAUCCCUCUUGCCUCACUCUCCCUCCCCCUCCCUCCUGUCCCACUUUCUUGCCUCCCUCCCCCUCCCUCCUGCCCCACUCUCUCUUUCCCACUCACCCCCUUUCCAGUCUCUCUGCUGCUUUCCCGCCACUUUCUCAUCUUGCUGGCCAUCUCAGCAGCCGUCCCACUACCGCCUCCUGCCCCCGGUGGCCAGGCCGGGCUUUGCCGCCACCACCGCCUCCCCCUUACCUGGGAUGGAUAGCAGAUUGCACUCUGGUACUACAACUCCCAUGAUAAUGCUUGUGUUUGGAGUCAAAGGUUCACCUUUGCCCCUGCAGGCGAUGAAAAGAGGCUGAGCCUUGCGGAGCAGAGAGCUACCACACUGUGAAGGCGUGGCGCCUUCUGCAAAAGUCUCUCCCUUGAGUUGAAGACCUUGUCUGUCUGUCAUCAUGGCAUCUUCUUCUUCCACCCAACCGCCAGCAAAAAAGGUGGGUGUGGGGAGUGUGACUUUAUCUUAGUUGAAGGUUUUACAAAGUUUUUGGUGUUCAUCAUCAGAAAGUUCUGCCUUGUGAUUUGGAUCUUUAUUGCUUUAUAUAAAUUGCCCAGCAGGGAGAGGGUCAGGGUAUUAGUUUUGCUCCAUGCUUAUGGAUAUACUUAAGGAGGGAAUAUAAAAGGGAAAUGACUUUCCUUUCCUGACAUACAUAAGUGAAGGAGAUCCAGAAGAUUUUUCAAGUUAUUUCUUGCAUUACUUCAUGGAAGAGAUGGUCCUGAAUGAAUAUUGCAAAAUGACUUUAAUGCUAUUUGGGCUUUAAAAAGAAAGUUUCAGCUUUCACAAGAUAUUGUGCUACAUGGUAUGGCGAUGAAGAAGCUGUCAGGAAAAAAUCCUCCUUUAUGGCUAAAAAAUUAUACUCCUGUGACCACUUGCCUUUAUCUGAGUUCUGGAUAAAAUAAGGAGCAGGUUGUAUAUGGGGAAAUUAAUGUAUUUGAGAGAAACAGCUGGACAGGAUGCAAGGAGCUGAAUCAACUUGAGUUAUUUAUUCUAAAUUGUUCUUAAGGCUACAAUUGGCCUCUAGAGGAUGUGUUCUAAUGUUAACCUGUCUUUAAAAUGAAUGAAAAUUAUUAAUUACAACAUUUAAAAGGAAACAAGAUAAGUGCUUGUCUAAUAAAUGUUUCUUGAGAUUGAUAUUGUUCUUGUAAAUGACUUUUCCCACUUAAUGGCUCAACCAGCAGUGUUAAUUUCAUUUGUUUCAGCUCAGUUAAGCAUGCUCUCUUUAUUGUCUGAAAGGAAUUUUGUUUAGAAUGUAUCCUUAGCAUUGGGGGCUAAUAUUUUAAAUCACUCUGAUCAAACAAGAGAUGCAGAUUCUUAUCGGGAUGCUGGUCCAUAUCAUGAUGUUCAUCCAAAUCCCGGCUAGGUGUAUCUUUUGAUGCACAUGGGAAUAAGCAUCCGAAACUAGCAUGACUUGCUGCCUGAAAUUACAGCUGGAUCUACCACCGCAUGGUUUUGUAUUUGGGUUUUUUUGCUCAGUUUAUAAGUAAGCCUAGCUUUCAGAUGGCAUCGAUCCAGCAGUUUUUUGAAAAUAGAUAUGGUCUUACAAUUACUUUUUCAAUCACCACACCCUGGUUUUCCUUUUGUAUGGAAAAUUAAUAUGCCCUUUUAUUUCCUUUUUUAAAGGAGAAAGAAUACUUCCACUCUGCUGCAUCCAUUUCAGAUAUAUAGCUAACUAUUUAGUUUCUUGAGCAUUAUGUACAUGGAAAUCUAGUUAAUAAUCAGAACAUGCACAAACAUGGUAGAAAGUUAUGUGGUGUGUGAUAGCUGUAUUCACAUUACUCCUAGUAAUGUUCCUCUGAGAUGCUGGUAGUAGAAGGAUCUCUGAUAUUCAACCCUUCACUGCAUUUAUUUAUUUUUUAUCAUCACUGAUUCCUUUUUAUCAACUUAUCCCUCUGUUCAGAAAUCAGUUGUUAUCAGCCUUCUGUGUUCUCUCCCAUAUCUCCUUGUAUGUCUUGCACCACCUACUUUCUCCCCAUGCUUGCUGCACUGUCACCAUCACUACCAUCAUGCGCAUACCAUCAUCCCUUAUUUAUUUGUUUGUUUGUUUAACAUAUUUUUAUACCACCCCAAACUUAUGUCUCUGGAUGGUUUACAACAAAAAAUGACAACAGAAAGUUAAAACGUUAGUUAAAAUAAAUAAAUGACAACAGAGAAAUUAAAACAUUGGUUAUAAUAAAUGACAGCAAAAAGUUAAAACAUUGUAACCUGAAAAUAAUAUUUUAAAACAAAACUAUUAAAAUUGUAUUUAAUUAAAAGCCUGGGUGAACGGAUGUGUCUUUAAAGAUUUCUUAAAAAUUGUCAGAGUUGGGGAGGCUCUAUGCUCUGUCUCCCAUAUCUCCUUUUAUGU
Long non-coding RNA from Hemicordylus capensis (graceful crag lizard), 2810 nucleotides. RefSeq lists it as uncharacterized. The record is from RefSeq and is a predicted model, not a curated record. The transcript is spliced from 3 exons. Lineage: Eukaryota; Metazoa; Chordata; Lepidosauria; Squamata; Cordylidae.